RNAcentral lists this long non-coding RNA (5259 nucleotides) under Gallus gallus (chicken). RNAcentral describes it as "lncRNA (ENSGALG00010014164.1)". The record is from RNAcentral. Lineage: Eukaryota; Metazoa; Chordata; Aves; Galliformes; Phasianidae.
GGUUUAUUGAGAGACUUAAAUAGGAACAACUGCUAGACCACAUUGUGUCAACCUCCCACGAUGACUACAUACAUUGUCUUCCCAUAGAAAAUAGGGUUUAUGGGGAAAAGAGAUUAAAAAAAAAAAUCUUGUACAUUAAUUUUCCUUGCAAUCUGAAAGUCAGCAAGUGGCAAAAACAUGCUCUGUGCCUUGAUAUGCCACAGAUCAAGACAAGACAUGCCAGGAACAGAAAGACUUAAAGAACAGAAGACUUUACGUGAAGCAAAGAGAACCUUAAAUAUCAUGGAUUAAUGCCGGAUUGGUCAACGGAAGUUUUGGACCUUAGCUGCCAGAGAGCUGCGUGCAUGGUGUUACCAUCACAUCCACUGAAUGUGCUGGAGCUUUCCUGUCAAGGUUUUAAUUUCCUGCCAGUGAUUUUAUUUUUAAUUUUUUUGAGACAUUAGAAGAUCUUUAGCCAUGACUGUGUAUCAGCAGCUGAAAGAAUUUGUGAGGAUGAACGUAACUAUUUGCUCCAAAAAACCUACAUAGCUCUUUUCACUCCUUUUGACAAGUAUCCAUGAAUACAUUUAAGUUUUAGAGAGCCCUGGAGUAGUUCUUACUGCUGUAUUUGACCAGCGCAUUGUCUGGACUGCUCUCCAUUUGUAAGUGAUGAGAGCUUUUCCGUGCAGGCAGCCCAACCACUGGAAGGUCAGCAGUCUGAUGCUGGCUUCAAAACCACGAGAUUGGUAAGUUAGAGGACAGCAUUUUAAAGUUAAAUUUCGUAACUUGUGAUAUUGUAAUUGUUUUCUGAUCAGUUAUGGUUGUCACUAUCAACUACGUUUUCCUCUUUUGUUCUUCUCUCCUUCCCCUUCCAUUUCCCUAUAUCUGUUGUCAACCAUUUACUAUAGUGGUAAAACUGCUUUUUUGCAGAAUUUUGUUACAACAGAAUGUUGGCUCUUGGAGUAUUUCUGAUACAGUUCCUGAUGAAAAGAUUAAGUAUUGAAUUCAGUGAGGCAGUUCCAAGCAGGUUUUUACAUUAUUUGAAUAGAACCAAAGCCUGCUUACUUGACUCCCCUGGAACAAAAGAAAUUUCAGUAUUUUCUGGGACUGUCACUGAAUGGUAUAUCCAUUGUCAAAGUCUAUGGUACUCGCUUCUGUCUUUGGAAAUCUUUAGACCUCACAUAAAUGAACACCUCACAGAAAUAUAUGUCGCAUAUUUAGCAGUGGAGAGAUGCUAUAGCUCGAUGACAGAGCCACUCUUUGAAAAGGUUCUCACCAUGUGUUCCCAAGAGACACAUCUCAUUAAAAUGAAAUGCAAGGAAAGCACGAACAUAUCGAGAAUAGUGGUCAGUGUAUUUCAAAGGCAACAGGCUACGCCAAGAAAAACAUUGUAGUCAUGCUUCCAGCUUAAAACAACAUUUGAAAAGCAUACUGAAAAACUUUCUACUUCAGUUUCAGUUGAGUGCCAGUGUGAGUUUUCAGGCUUAAGUACUUAUCUGAACACGUUACAGAAAAUAUAGAGUUAAGAAAAAACUGUCCUAAUAUUGGACCACUUUUGCUAUCUAGGCUGCUUGAAAAAUAGGUUUUUCUUCAAGAGAGAGCAGGAAGAAGGACCUAGAAAAUAGCUUUUAAAAAGAAUUACUUUUAUUUUUUAAAAAGGGGGAGUCUAAAUUGGAGAAACAAGUCAAUCACAUCUAUAUGCAAUAAUGGAUCACGUAUUAUCCUUUUGGAAACGGUUGAAAACCUAAAAAAGAAAUUCAUUUUCCUUACAAUAGUAGUAGCUAACUGGAAAGCUGGUGAUGAAAACCCUUGUUUUAGGCAUAACAGUCUUAGCUGUAGAGUCUUUUUAACAACAUUACAGAGCAGCUACAUACUGUAUGAAGUCUGUUCUGCUAAAUAUUGCUUCUUUGAGAAAUUAUUAGCAGAAUAAGUAUGGCACAGAAUUGAUAAAAAAACCAAAUCAAAAUAAAUGUUCUUUUAGAACACAUUUGUGUGGAUAAUCAGGGAAAACAGUACGAACCGGAAAGGAAUGAACAGGAAGAAUGAAAGGGAUGGUAGUAAAGCUGUCUGGUUUAGGUGACUUCUAGCAAAAGAUGACAUCCAAAAUACCUAGUUAAUUUGGAGGGGAACUAACUACAAACCAGCUGAACUGAGUGGUACUCAGAAGUAAAUAUAAAGGCGUGUGUUUCUGAUCAGUCCUGUGUUGCCAUCUGUCCCUGCUGAAGAGAGCAUAGCAACCCUUAGCAGCUCUGCAUGGCUGCCUGCUUGGGCCAUUACCUGAGCAUCUGUUUUGUUUGUUGGAUUUCAGUGUUCCCACCAGUGACAGAGAGUACAGAACUCUAGAAGGAGUACCUGUAUAAAUUAAGGAAUAACCUGUCUAACAGGAGGGGAAGGAGGGAUGCUGCUCUUCUAUUGCUCCUAUACAUUACGCUGUCCACCCCAGACACUCAACUUGUUUUUCACUUUGGCUGCACAUUUAGUUUCUUGAGCUGUGUCUCUGUGUGCUAAUUCAAGCUGGAAAACUGGAUGUUAUUCUAUGUAAUUGGUUCCAUUUAUUUCUAAAGAUGAGAGGUGUGAGCUUCUGGGUUUUACAUGGUGACGUGAGAUGUGCUGGUAGAUGUAGGUUACAGCUGUGCAUUGAGCCCCAAUGGAGCACGGAUCCCAGCACACUCCAGACUGUCCAGCUUCAACAGAACAAAACUUUAGCUGUCCUGUCUGCAGCAGGGUUUUGCGAUGUGCUAGAGAAAAUAAAACCAAAGCACUGGAAGGGGGCAGUAAAUGAAAUUUCUGUUUUAAGUUUCACAGCCAAACUAAAAUGUUCUGAAGAAUAACGAACUAAACUAAUUUCUGGAAAUUGUUUAGUGCUUCCAAAUGACACUGCAUGUUGACUUCCUUUUUCUGGAAAGUGCCUGAAGUUUCUUAAGCUGCCUGAUGGGAGGCAAUGGAAGCCCUCACUCCCGUUGGCAGCUAUGUCAGGGGAAAAUGUAGGUAUUCUUCAAAGACCAAUCUCAUCCUCCCUCUCUUUUUACUAGGCUGCUUUCUGCAUUGGGUAUCAAUGAGUCACAUUACCUUCUAGAAAACAAAACAAAAAAACAGCCGGACUAAUUUCAAAACCUGCCAUUGGAGAAAUAAUGUGUGAAGACCUUCUGACUGGAGAUGGAGGAAGGAAGGAAAAGGCUGUGCACUUUUCAACAUGACCGUGAAGAGGAAUUGCCAUUCUCUAGCCUUGCUCAGCCUGAACGUGUGCUUCAUGAGAACAUCUGUCUCAUGAAGGUGCUUGUUCAGGAGUGGUAGCUGAAGCCCAACUCCAAUCCAUAGUGGUAUCUAUGGCCUGAAAUGCCAAUCCUACCCACAUAAGGUGAUACCACCAAGUAUCUGACUGGUUGCCAUAGUGUAGGUAGGUGGAUCGUGGGCACCUACUGCUGCUUUCGCCACUGAGGUGGUAGUUGUGGUUGUGGUGUCUUCUCCACUUGUGCCAAAGAAUUGCUUUUGCAGAUCCUCCAGAUCUACUGUGUGCACAGGAUGGAAAGGUAAACCAUUCGUACCAUCUAUAUUCUCAGUAUCUCUCUGCAUCCUGAUCCUAGAGGAAGCAAUGUUUAAAAGCAUUGGAAAAAAAAAAAAGUCUUCUUAAUUAAAAAUUAAUUUAAAAUCUUAUUAAGCCUCUUUGGCCUUAGCAAUACUGAGGGAAAAAAACGCCAGCACUAAUUUUGCAGAAAACAGUUGUGUUUAAUAACAUGGUAAUUUGUCACAAAUUUCUGCCCUUGCCCAUUCCAAGGACAAAAUGAGGUUUAACACUGAAAUAGUUAGAAAACAUUUUACCUCAUACAUUUUAACACUGCAUUUUCCCAGUAUAGUGCUGGGCUUAGGUAUUCUAAUUUUAUCUUCAGUAAUUGGUUCCUAAUUUUAUUGUUGUGGCUGUUGCUCCCUGAGGGCGUUUGGAAAUGAGAUUCAGCAUUAAAAAAAACCCUUAGCUGAAACAGACUUUUAAUAAUGAAAUCAAUGAAAGGAGCAUUCCUAACUAUAAAACCGGAGCAUAGGUACAUAAAUAAUCGUUACAAUUUGUUUAGUGCUGAGUUUUCCAGCCCUGUUGCAUUUAACCAUUUUUAUUGUCCUGAGGAUAUUCUGUGCAGAUCUUUGGAAAGGCUGAUGGAUGGCAUUUUUUCAACCAAAGCGUUUUUCAGAUGUGGUACAGUCCACAGGAAACCUUUUGAAAUAGAAGAGGACUGUGGCAGCCAGCGCAGCAUUGUGAUGUUAUGACCAAAGAGCUGUUUUGAAGAAUGAGAGACAUUUCUUCUGAUAGGGAAAUAGCUGAUACUUACCCUUCACUUCUGUGGGAAAGCUGGUGGCUUCAGGUGGGAGGAGGUAUGUCUGUGGGACUCUGGGAUUCCCUCUGAGAUGGCCAGGUGCUCCCAUCCCUGGGUGCCCUUCUCCACAUCAGCAGAGAAGAUCAACAGAGAUGUCCGUGAGGAUUGCAUCUGCAGACCUCUUCCAUUCCCAUGUCUGUAGAUUACUCAGAUAGGAUAAUGUGUUUAAAAAAGGAUUAUCUUGCAGGGUCUUGUUUGCCAAAUAUCAGCCUGGAGCAAGUUUUUACAGCUGAGUUACAAUGACCUGAUAGCAGUGUUUAUGAUAGAAAUGGUGCCAACUACUUGGUACCAGCGGCGCGCUGGUCGCUUAGUCACUGAAAGACUUUGUUGUCAGAAUCACUUUUUAUUUUGCAAAUGGGAAUAUGUGUGGUGAAUAGUGCUCGGUGCCUCUAAGCGCAGAGGCUCCGCGCUGGUUAGCGGUUAGCCAGCCCCACAGGCACUGCCUGCAAGCAUCCCCACGCAGUGCUGCCAGGAACAACAGCGGCUGACGCUUGCACAGCACUUUUCCUCUUUGGGCUGAUCACGGGACGCACUGCACAUGAGCUGUGGGUGCUGCAGAGCUGCUACUGCGGCUGUCUGGCAGCUCAGGGCAGGAGGGGUCAUGGUGGUAAGCAGGACCAUGUGCUGCCCACCACUCCUGCAUGUGCCCUCUAGUAGGGGACGCAGCACAGCCCAAUGCAGGCACUCAUUGCUUACUGGGGAUCGCUACCACACUGCCUGCCUGGAGAUUCAACUCCUUUAUCCUAUGAACAGACAUCUUUAUUGGGAGAGUUUUUAUUCACCUGGUCUAGCACAGCAGUUCCCUCAGCUCUUUUUACUACUUUUCAUGUCACUGGGGCAGAGAGUGGGAAUUUGUUCCUUUAAGGAGAGUAGUUUUUGAUCCUGAUCUGAUUUCCCACAGUUGGGUAGAGAAUAC